GAGUUUGAUCGUGGCUCAGGAUGAACGCUGGCGGCGUGCCUAAUACAUGCAAGUCGAACGAACAGAUAAGGAGCUUGCUCCUUUGACGUUAGCGGCGGACGGGUGAGUAACACGUGGGUAACCUACCUAUAAGACUGGGAAUAACUCCGGGAAACCGGGGCUAAUGCCGGAUAACAUGUUGAACCGCAUGGUUCUACAGUGAAAGACGGUCUUGCUGUCACUUAUAGAUGGACCCGCGCCGUAUUAGCUAGUUGGUGGGGUAACGGCCGUACCAAGGCGACGAUACGUAGCCGACCUGAGAGGGUGAUCGGCCACACUGGAACUGAGACACGGUCCAGACUCCUACGGGAGGCAGCAGUAGGGAAUCUUCCGCAAUGGGCGAAAGCCUGACGGAGCAACGCCGCGUGAGUGAUGAAGGUCUUCGGAUCGUAAAGCUCUGUUGUUAGGGAAGACAAAUGUGUAAGUAACUGUGCAUAUCUUGACGGUACCUAACCAGAAAGCCACGGCUAACUACGUGCCAGCCGCCGCCGUAAU
This 534-nucleotide ribosomal RNA is filed under the name uncultured microorganism. Its description in RNAcentral is "bacterial SSU rRNA". It matches the Rfam family "Bacterial small subunit ribosomal RNA", at positions 9 to 524 of the family's 1533-position model. The record is from RNAcentral.